UUGACCUCGGAUCAGGUAGGGAUACCCGCUGAACUUAAGCAUAUCAAUAAGCGGAGGAAAAGAAACCAACAGGGAUUGCCCUAGUAACGGCGAGUGAAGCGGCAACAGCUCAAAUUUGAAAUCUGGCGUCUUUGGCGUCCGAGUUGUAAUUUGCAGAGGGCGCUUUGGCAUCGGCAGCGGUCCAAGUUCCUUGGAACAGGACGUCACAGAGGGUGAGAAUCCCGUACGUGAUCGCUAGCCUUUACCGUGUAAAGCCCCUUCGACGAGUCGAGUUGUUUGGGAAUGCAGCUCUAAAUGGGAGGUAAAUUUCUUCUAAAGCUAAAUACUGGCCAGAGACCGAUAGCGCACAAGUAGAGUGAUCGAAAGAUGAAAAGCACUUUGGAAAGAGAGUUAAAAAGCACGUGAAAUUGUUGAAAGGGAAGCGCUUGCAGCCAGACUUGCCUGUAGUUGCUCAUCCGGGUUUCUACCCGGUGCACUCUUCUAUAGGCAGGCCAGCAUCAGUUUGGGCGGUUGGAUAAAGGUCUCUGUCAUGUACCUCUCUUCGGGGAGAACUUAUAGGGGAGACGACAUGCAACCAGCCCGGACUGAGGUCCGCGCAUCUGCU
RNAcentral lists this ribosomal RNA (604 nucleotides) under Neodidymelliopsis sp. RNAcentral describes it as "eukaryotic LSU rRNA". It matches the Rfam family "Eukaryotic large subunit ribosomal RNA", at positions 1 to 607 of the family's 3401-position model. Lineage: Eukaryota; Fungi; Ascomycota; Dothideomycetes; Pleosporales; Didymellaceae. The record is from RNAcentral.